AGGGAAUCUUGCGCAAUGGGCGAAAGCCUGACGCAGCAACGCCGCGUGGGGGAUGAAGGCCUUCGGGUUGUAAACCCCUUUCAGGAGGGAAGAAAUUGACGGUACCUCCAAAAGAAGGACCGGCCAACUACGUGCCAGCAGCCGCGGUAAUACGUAGGGUCCUAGCGUUAUCCGGAAUCAUUGGGCGUAAAGAGCUCGUAGGCGGUUCAGCAAGUCGGCUGUGAAAGUCCGAGGCUCAACUUCGGAAUUGCAGUCGAUACUGCUGUGACUCGAGUCCGGUAGAGGAGAAUGGAAUUCUCGGUGUAGCGGUGAAAUGCGCAGAUAUCGAGAGGAACACCAGUAGCGAAGGCGGUUCUCUGGGCCGGCACUGACACUGAGGAGCGAAAGCGUGGGUAGCGAA
Molecule: ribosomal RNA, 400 nt
Filed under: uncultured bacterium
Lineage: Bacteria
Description: bacterial SSU rRNA
Rfam family: Bacterial small subunit ribosomal RNA
Source: RNAcentral